AGUUUCGAAUCAUUCACAAUGGGCGAAAGCCUGAUGGUGCGACGCCGCGUGAGGGAUGAAGGUCUUCGGAUCGUAAACCUCUGUCACUGGGGAAGAAACGCUAUGCGUAAACAGCGCCUAGCCUGACUUAACCCGGAGAGGAAGCAGUGGCUAACUCUGUGCCAGCAGCCGCGGUAAUACAGAGACUGCAAGCGUUAUUCGGAUUCACUGGGCGUAAAGGGUGCGCAGGCCGCUAUGUGUGUGAGGUGUGAAAUCCCGGAGCUUAACUCCGGAACUGCGCCUCAAACUACAUGGCUAGAGCAUUGGAGAGGGAAGUGGAAUUCACGGUGUAGCAGUGAAAUGCGUAGAUAUCGUGAGGAACACCAGAGGCGAAGGCGACUUCCUGGACAAUUGCUGACGCUCAGGCACGAAAGCGUGGGGAGCAAA
RNAcentral lists this ribosomal RNA (426 nucleotides) under uncultured Opitutus sp. RNAcentral's name for it is "bacterial SSU rRNA". It matches the Rfam family "Bacterial small subunit ribosomal RNA", at positions 353 to 772 of the family's 1533-position model. The record is from RNAcentral. Lineage: Bacteria; Pseudomonadati; Verrucomicrobiota; Opitutia; Opitutales; Opitutaceae.